GGGGGUGAAUUAGGUUCGACAGGCGUCGUUGAACCCGUGGUUGCAGGCCCUGGUUGGCCAGAGCCAGGAUAAAAUCCGGCCAAAACACAAAAGCCAACUCACCAUUGGCCUGGGCCGUCGCCUAAACAGCGGUCGGCGCACGCCGGUCCCUGACUCCUGCUGGGGGGUCCCGGUGUCAAGAAGCAGGAUGCGGAUUCUCCCGCGGUCACCGUCGGCGGGAAUCCAAAGACCGAACGGGGAUAGUCCGGAGGCAGCCGUCCGCCGUUUUCUCCGGAUGAAACCAAGGGCGGGCUAAGCCUGUAGGAGCCCGGGCCGGCGGCGUUUGGACGCGGGUGCGAUUCCCGCCACCUCCACCA
This 356-nucleotide transfer-messenger RNA is filed under the name Elusimicrobiota bacterium. RNAcentral's name for it is "Elusimicrobia bacterium transfer-messenger RNA". It matches the Rfam family "transfer-messenger RNA". Rfam says of the family: Bacterial tmRNA, also known as 10Sa RNA or SsrA, is named for its dual tRNA and mRNA-like properties. Its role is to liberate the mRNA from a stalled ribosome. The record is from RNAcentral. Lineage: Bacteria; Pseudomonadati; Elusimicrobiota.